CGCGUAGGCGGUCUUCUAUGUCAGAUGUGAAAGCCCGGGCUCAACCCCGGAAGUGCAUUUGAAACUGGGAGACUUGAGUAUGGGAGAGGGAAGUGGAAUUCCUGGUGUAGCGGUGAAAUGCGUAGAUAUCAGGAGGAACACCGGUGCGAAGGCGACUUCCUGGACCAAUACUGACGCUGAGGCGCGAAGGCGUGGGGAAGCAAACGA
This 207-nucleotide ribosomal RNA is filed under the name uncultured bacterium. RNAcentral's name for it is "partial 16S ribosomal RNA". It matches the Rfam family "Bacterial small subunit ribosomal RNA", at positions 568 to 775 of the family's 1533-position model. The record is from RNAcentral.